Long non-coding RNA from Monodelphis domestica (gray short-tailed opossum), 201 nucleotides. RefSeq lists it as uncharacterized. The record is from RefSeq and is a predicted model, not a curated record. NCBI's taxonomy places the organism in Eukaryota, Metazoa, Chordata, Mammalia, Didelphimorphia, Didelphidae.
AGGACAUCCGACUGUUCCUUUUAAAAAUGGCUCUUGACAUUCAGGUACAAUGUUGGAAAGAAGAUGAAUGGGACAAAAGGGCUGUAAGGCUGGUGAAUAGAAGACUUCCUAAAUAAAAUGACGGAAAGGAACUCUUGUGAAAAAAGCAAAACAAAACUGGAGGCAUAGACGAUUACAAAAAUAAAACUGGAAGCCAAAGCA